This 92-nucleotide transfer RNA is filed under the name Felis catus (domestic cat). It matches the Rfam family "tRNA". Rfam says of the family: Transfer RNA (tRNA) molecules are approximately 80 nucleotides in length. The record is from Rfam by way of RNAcentral. Lineage: Eukaryota; Metazoa; Chordata; Mammalia; Carnivora; Felidae.
GCCUGAAUGGCUCAGUCAGUUAAGCGUCUGACUCAUGACUUCAGAACAGAUCAUCAUCUCAUGGUUCAUGGGUUCGAGUCCCGUGUCGGGCU